Molecule: unclassified non-coding RNA, 447 nt
Filed under: Hevea brasiliensis (rubber tree)
Lineage: Eukaryota; Viridiplantae; Streptophyta; Magnoliopsida; Malpighiales; Euphorbiaceae
Source: RNAcentral
AGAAACGGGCUCCUGCUCUUCUUGACAACCUUGUACAAGCCUUUCUGAUGGCUCCUUUCUUUGUAUUGCUCGAGGUUCUUCAAAAAGUCUUCAGAUAUGAACCAUAUCCAGGGUUUCAUGCAAGUGUCGAGGCAAAGAUAGAUGCGGAGAUCAAGGAAUGGAAGGACAAUAAACGAAAGAAAUCCACUUAGCUUACAGAGUCAUCAAACGGGCAACUAUGAUGCUACUUUAAUUUAGAAUCAAAAUGGAAAAUUUGGCGUGUGAUGUUGUGUUAUCAAACUAGAGACAUCUUCUAUGUACUGAAAGGUUUCUUGGACUUCUUGGACACAGAUCACAAUCUUAUUGCCAACAGGAAUGUCUCUAUAAGUCACUAAUAUCCGGUUUUUGAUUUUGUUGUGAACAUUUUAAUUGCAGUAAUUCUAGUUGCAGUGGCAGUUUCCCUCGCAC